RNAcentral lists this ribosomal RNA (29 nucleotides) under uncultured Comamonadaceae bacterium. RNAcentral describes it as "partial 16S ribosomal RNA". The record is from RNAcentral. Lineage: Bacteria; Pseudomonadati; Pseudomonadota; Betaproteobacteria; Burkholderiales; Comamonadaceae.
UCGGAAGGCGCGGCUGGAUCACCUCCUUU